This 451-nucleotide ribosomal RNA is filed under the name uncultured bacterium. Its description in RNAcentral is "bacterial SSU rRNA". It matches the Rfam family "Bacterial small subunit ribosomal RNA", at positions 76 to 518 of the family's 1533-position model. The record is from RNAcentral.
GUAGCAAUACUUUGGGUGGCGACCGGGCGCACGGGUGAGUAACGCGUAUGCAACCUACCGUACCAGAGGGGAAUAACCCGGCGAAAGUCGGACUAAUACCGCAUAAAACAGGGGCACCGCAUGGUGAUAUUUGUUAAAGAAAUUCGCUGAUAGAUGGGCAUGCGUUCCAUUAGGUAGUUGGUGAGGUAACGGCUCACCAAGCCGACGAUGGAUAGGGGAACUGAGAGGUUGGUCCCCCACACUGGUACUGAGACACGGACCAGACUCCUACGGGAGGCAGCAGUGAGGAAUAUUGGUCAAUGGGCGGGAGCCUGAACCAGCCAAGUCGCGUAGGAAGGAAGAAGGAUCUAUGGUUCGUAAACUUCUUUUGCAGGGGAAUAAAGUGCAGGACGUGUCCUGUUUUGUAUGUACCCUGAGAAUAAGGAUCGGCUAACUCCGUGCCAGCCGCCGC